Molecule: non-coding RNA, 150 nt
Filed under: Nomascus leucogenys (northern white-cheeked gibbon)
Lineage: Eukaryota; Metazoa; Chordata; Mammalia; Primates; Hylobatidae
Source: Rfam by way of RNAcentral
GCUGGGCAUGGUGGUGCAUGCCUAUAGUCCUAGCUACUCAGGAGGCUGAGGCAGGAGAAUCACUUGAGCCCAGGAGUUCAAGGCCUAGUAGUGAGCUAUGAUCACACCACUGCACUCCUGCCUGGGUAACAGAGCAAGACCCUGUCUCUU